GACGAACGCUGGCGGCGUGCUUAACACAUGCAAGUCGAACGGAAAGGCCCUGCUUUUGUGGGGUGCUCGAGUGGCGAACGGGUGAGUAACACGUGAGUAACCUGCCCUUGACUUUGGGAUAACUUCAGGAAACUGGGGCUAAUACCGGAUAGGAGCUCCUGCUGCAUGGUGGGGGUUGGAAAGUUUCGGCGGUUGGGGAUGGACUCGCGGCUUAUCAGCUUGUUGGUGGGGUAGUGGCUUACCAAGGCUUUGACGGGUAGCCGGCCUGAGAGGGUGACCGGCAACAUGGGGACUGAGAUACGGCCCAGACUCAUACGGGAGGAAGGAGUGGGGAAUAUUGAACAAUGGGCGGAAGCAUGAUGCAGAAAGGCCGGGUGGGGGAUGACGGCCUUCGGGUUGUAAAACGAUUUCGCCUGUGAAGAAGCGGGAGUGACGGAAAUGGGUAAAGAAGCACCGGCUAACUACGG
RNAcentral lists this ribosomal RNA (467 nucleotides) under uncultured bacterium. RNAcentral describes it as "partial 16S ribosomal RNA". It matches the Rfam family "Bacterial small subunit ribosomal RNA", at positions 28 to 506 of the family's 1533-position model. The record is from RNAcentral.